AAUAGAUACCCAGGUAGUCCACGCCGUAAACGAUGAGUGCUAAGUGUUAGGGGGUUUCCGCUCCUUAGUGCUGCAGCUAACGCAUUAAGCACUCCGCCUGGGGAGUACGGCCGCAAGGCUGAAACUCAAAGGAAUUGACGGGGGCCCGCACAAGCGGUGGAGCAUGUGGUUUAAUUCGAAGCAACGCGAAGAACCUUACCAGGUCUUGACAUCUCCUGACCGCCCUGGAGACAGGGUCUUCCCUUCGGGGACAGGAUGACAGGUGGUGCAUGGUUGUCGUCAGCUCGUGUCGUGAGAUGUUGGGUUAAGUCCCGCAACGAGCGCAACCCUUGUCCUUAGUUGCCAGCAUUCAGUUGGGCACUCUAAGGAGACUGCCGGCUAAAAGUCGGAGGAAGGUGGGGAUGACGUCAAAUCAUCAUGCCCCUUAUGACCUGGGCUACACACGUGCUACAAUGGGCGGUACAGAGGGUCGCGAACCCGCAAGGGGGAGCCAAUCCCAAAAACCGCUCUCAGUUCGGAUUGCAGGCUGC
RNAcentral lists this ribosomal RNA (530 nucleotides) under uncultured bacterium. Its description in RNAcentral is "bacterial SSU rRNA". It matches the Rfam family "Bacterial small subunit ribosomal RNA", at positions 777 to 1308 of the family's 1533-position model. The record is from RNAcentral.